Molecule: ribosomal RNA, 482 nt
Filed under: uncultured bacterium
Lineage: Bacteria
Description: partial 16S ribosomal RNA
Rfam family: Bacterial small subunit ribosomal RNA
Source: RNAcentral
AUUGAACGCUGGCGGCAUGCCUUACACAUGCAAGUCGAACGGUAACAGGUUUUCGGAUGCUGACGAGUGGCGAACGGGUGAGUAAUACAUCGGAACGUGCCCGUUCGUGGGGGAUAACGAAGCGAAAGCUUUGCUAAUACCGCAUAAGAUCUACGGAUGAAAGCAGGGGACCGCAAGGCCUUGCGCGAACGGAGCGGCCGAUGGCAGAUUAGGUAGUUGGUGGGAUAAAAGCUUACCAAGCCGACGAUCUGUAGCUGGUCUGAGAGGACGACCAGCCACACUGGGACUGAGACACGGCCCAGACUCCUACGGGAGGCAGCAGUGGGGAAUUUUGGACAAUGGGCGAAAGCCUGAUCCAGCCAUGCCGCGUGCAGGAUGAAGGCCUUCGGGUUGUAAACUGCUUUUGUACGGAACGAAAAGACUCUGGUUAAUACCUGGGGUCCAUGACGGUACCGUAAGAAUAAGCACCGGCUAACUACGUG